This 1116-nucleotide long non-coding RNA is filed under the name Felis catus (domestic cat). RNAcentral's name for it is "lncRNA (ENSFCAG00000051039.1)". Lineage: Eukaryota; Metazoa; Chordata; Mammalia; Carnivora; Felidae. The record is from RNAcentral.
AUGGAUCCCGUCACCCUCCAGCUUGGGCACAAGACACCAGGCCUCAGUUUCCCCCUCUUGAUGACCCCAGUGAUGUUCCCGCCUUGGGUAGCUGAGGGGGAGGUGCUCCCUGCCUCCACGGCUGAAGGCGGCCCCAACACGGUUUGGGCUGGCGCCUUCCGCCCCAUCACGGAUUCCAGCCAGAGCCCCCUGGGUGGGGUCGGGGGGACAGGAGCCACAGGGACAGGGCUCAGGUUGUCCCGGCAGCCAAAGUUGGGGUGUGGGGCACAGAACACCCUGGAGAGGCGGGGGGCCUGGGCGCCUCUUCUUCACCAGCCCGUCCGUGCUGCCCACAGUGGGUCCCCACACUUCACAGUCUGUCCUGGAAGCUGUCGCCUGCUGGCUGCUCCCAGACAGCUGGCUUCCUCUCCUCUUACCUCCCCCAGCCUGCAGCCACCCUCCCUCCGCCGGCCUCACGCAUCUGCCGCAUCUUCCCCCCUCCCCGCCUUUGCCCUGCCAUCCCGCCCCCCCCUCCAUUUCCAAUCUGGAAUGAUGCUCCAGCCUCUGGCCUGCAGGGUGACCCGGACGACCCAUCCUCCCGGGCCCUGCAGGUCCCCAAGUCCUCGCCAGGGACUGGUGUUGCCAGUGAAGCACGGCUGCAUCGGCCCCCUCCUGCCCCACUCCCUGCCCGCACCCCACUCCUCCCCUGGGGCUCAUUCACCUUUCCCCGCCCUCAGUUCUCUCUGUGCUAAGAGCACCCACUUUGAAGUUACACAGGCUUGGGUUGCCACCCCGGCUGUGCCGCCUCAUGGCGCCGGGCCUCAGUUCUCCCAUCUGCAGAACGGGGAGAAUGCCGGCAAGGCCCGCCUUGGGCUGUCGCAAGGGUUAAGUGAAGAGUGUUUUCACGUCCUCGGAAACGCUGUGCGUUACCCAGCCCGGCCUGUCGUCACCCCGAGCCUGCGGUGGCUCUCCUCACUGCUGCCCUCUGCACCAAGCUGUUCACGACCCGAAUCACUUCAUCUUCACUCGGGAACACUCACUGGCUCCCCAGUACCUCUCCUGGGACUUAAAACUCCGGCUCGUUUUCAGAGCUCUCCGUCACUUGUCUUUCUGGAUUCCCUGGUGCGGCUGCCCUGA